GAUGAGCAUGCGUCCCAUUAGCUUGUUGGUAAGGUAACGGCUUACCAAGGCAACGAUGGGUAGGGGUCCUGAGAGGGAGAUCCCCCACACUGGUACUGAGACACGGACCAGACUCCUACGGGAGGCAGCAGUGAGGAAUAUUGGUCAAUGGGCGCAAGCCUGAACCAGCCAUGCCGCGUGCAGGAUGAAGCAUCUAUGGUGUGUAAACUGCUUUUGUACGAGAAGAAACACUCCUUCGUGAAGGAGCUUGACGGUAUCGUAAGAAUAAGGACCGGCUAACUCCAUGCCAGCAGCCGCGGUAAUACGGAGGGUCCAAGCGUUAUCCGGAAUCAUUGGGUUUAAAGGGUCCGUAGGCGGUUUUGUAAGUCAGUGGUGAAAGCCCAUCGCUCAACGGUGGAACGGCCAUUGAUACUGCAAGACUUGAAUUAU
Molecule: ribosomal RNA, 429 nt
Filed under: uncultured Bacteroidota bacterium
Lineage: Bacteria; Pseudomonadati; Bacteroidota
Description: bacterial SSU rRNA
Rfam family: Bacterial small subunit ribosomal RNA
Source: RNAcentral